GCCUACGGGGGGCAGCAGUGAGGAAUAUUGGUCAAUGGGCGGGAGCCUGAACCAGCCAAGCCGCGUGAAGGAAGAAGGCGCCAGGCGUCGUAAACUUCUUUUGUCGGGGAACAAAGGGCGCCACGCGUGGCGUUGUGAGUGUACCCGAAGAAAAAGCAUCGGCUAACUACGUGCCAGCAGCCGCGGUAAUACGUAGGGGGCAAGCGUUGUCCGGAUUUACUGGGUGUAAAGGGAGCGUAGACGGCGCGGCAAGUCUGAAGUGAAAGGCAGGGGCUUAACCCCUGAACUGCUUUGGAAACUGCCAG
Molecule: ribosomal RNA, 305 nt
Filed under: uncultured bacterium
Lineage: Bacteria
Description: bacterial SSU rRNA
Rfam family: Bacterial small subunit ribosomal RNA
Source: RNAcentral